CAAAGGAUAGUUUAAAAAAAAUAUUAAUUUUGGAAAUUAAUGAUAAGAAUUUCUUUCCUUUGA
Molecule: transfer RNA, 63 nt
Filed under: Psychomantis borneensis
Lineage: Eukaryota; Metazoa; Arthropoda; Insecta; Mantodea; Hymenopodidae
Description: tRNA-Pro
Source: RNAcentral